AGAAUCAACGCUGGCGGCGUGCCUAACACAUGCAAGUCGAACGAGAAAGUGGAGCAAUCCAUGAGUAAAGUGGCGCACGGGUGAGUAACACGUGACUAACCUACCCUUGAGUGGGGGAUAACCUAGGGAAACCUGGGCUAAUACCGCAUAGUACCUUCGGGUCAAAGGAGCAAUUCGCUUAAGGAGGGGGUCGCGGCCGAUUAGUUAGUUGGCGGGGUAAUGGCCCACCAAGACUGUGAUCGGUAU
This 246-nucleotide ribosomal RNA is filed under the name uncultured bacterium. RNAcentral's name for it is "partial small subunit ribosomal RNA". It matches the Rfam family "Bacterial small subunit ribosomal RNA", at positions 26 to 286 of the family's 1533-position model. The record is from RNAcentral.